Molecule: ribosomal RNA, 541 nt
Filed under: uncultured Planctomycetota bacterium
Lineage: Bacteria; Pseudomonadati; Planctomycetota
Description: bacterial SSU rRNA
Rfam family: Bacterial small subunit ribosomal RNA
Source: RNAcentral
GCAGCCUGAUCGAGCGACGCCGCGUGUGCGAUGAAGGCCUUCGGGUUGUAAAGCACUGUCGAGAGGGAGAAAGCCGCAAGGUUGAUCUAUCUCUGGAGGAAGGACGGGCUAAGUUCGUGCCAGCAGCCGCGGUAAGACAAACCGUCCAAACGUUAUUCGGAAUCACUGGGCUUAAAGGGCGCGUAGGCGGGCGAGCAAGUCUGUGGUGAAAUACCCCGGCUUAACCGGGGAACUGCCGUGGAUACUGCUUGUCUCGAGGAGGGUAGGGGCAUCUGGAACAGCCGGUGGAGCGGUGAAAUGCGUUGAUAUCGGCUGGAACUCCGGUGGCGAAGGCGAGAUGCUGGACCCUUUCUGACGCUGAGGCGCGAAAGCCAGGGGAGCGAACGGGAUUAGAUACUCCGGUAGUCCUGGCCCUAAACGAUGAGAACUGGAUAGCGGGCUUGACAUGAGCACGCUGUCGGAGCAAAAGUGUUAAGUUCUCCGCCCGGGGAGUAUGGUCGCAAGGCUGAAACUCAAAGAAAUUGACGGCUCAAAGGAAUUG